Molecule: transfer RNA, 70 nt
Filed under: Dipodomys ordii (Ord's kangaroo rat)
Lineage: Eukaryota; Metazoa; Chordata; Mammalia; Rodentia; Heteromyidae
Rfam family: tRNA
About the family: Transfer RNA (tRNA) molecules are approximately 80 nucleotides in length.
Source: Rfam by way of RNAcentral
GGUGAUGUGGCUCAGUGGUAGAGCACUUGCCUAGCAUGCACAAGGCCCUGGGUUCCAUUCCUCAGUACCA